GGGGACGUGGCAGAGUGGUUAUUGCGCUAGACUAGAAAUCUAGUUCCUUCGGGAGCAUGGGUUCGAAUCCCAUCGUCUCCU
RNAcentral lists this transfer RNA (81 nucleotides) under archaeon. Its description in RNAcentral is "tRNA-Ser". It matches the Rfam family "tRNA". From Rfam's summary of the family: Transfer RNA (tRNA) molecules are approximately 80 nucleotides in length. Their secondary structure includes four short double-helical elements and three loops (D, anti-codon, and T loops). Further hydrogen bonds mediate the characteristic L-shaped molecular structure. tRNAs have two regions of fundamental functional importance: the anti-codon, which is responsible for specific mRNA codon recognition, and the 3' end, to which the tRNAs corresponding amino acid is attached (by aminoacyl-tRNA synthetases). tRNAs cope with the degeneracy of the genetic code in two manners: having more than one tRNA (with a specific anti-codon) for a particular amino acid; and 'wobble' base-pairing, i.e. permitting non-standard base-pairing at the 3rd anti-codon position. The record is from RNAcentral.